GUGCUAAGGUAGCAUAAUAAUUUGUCUUUUAAUUAAAGACUAGAACAAAAGAUUAAACAUUUUAAUUAAUUUAUUAAUUAUUUUUAUUAAAAUUAUCUUUAAUGUUAAAAGACAUUAAUAAUAAAGAAAGACGAUAAGACCCUAUUGAACUUUACUAAAGUUUAACUGGGGUAGUUAAUUAAUUAAUAUUUUAAUUUAAAUAAUUAUUAAAUUAUCAUUAUUAUAAUAAUAAUAAUAAGUUACCAUAGGGAUAACAGCGCAAUUUUUUUUUAAAGAUCUUAUUUAAAAAUAAGAUUACGACCUCGAUGUUGAAUUAAUUAAUCUAUUAAAUGCAAUAAUUUAAAGAGAAAGUCUGUUCGACUUUUAAAUAAUUACAUGAUUUGAGUUCAAACCGGUGUAAGCCAGGUUGGUUUCUAUCUUCUAAAAAUUUUUUCACAGUACGAAAGGACCAGAAGAAUUAAUUUUAUUAAUAAUUUGGCAGAUAAAUGCAUUAGAAUUAGAAUCUAAUUAAAUAUUA
RNAcentral lists this ribosomal RNA (517 nucleotides) under Lyssomanes longipes. RNAcentral describes it as "partial 16S ribosomal RNA". The stretch from base 125 to 422 matches the Rfam family "Bacterial large subunit ribosomal RNA", at positions 2074 to 2646 of the family's 2925-position model. Lineage: Eukaryota; Metazoa; Arthropoda; Arachnida; Araneae; Salticidae. The record is from RNAcentral.